RNAcentral lists this ribosomal RNA (1029 nucleotides) under Triticum aestivum (bread wheat). Its description in RNAcentral is "partial small subunit ribosomal RNA". The record is from RNAcentral. Lineage: Eukaryota; Viridiplantae; Streptophyta; Magnoliopsida; Poales; Poaceae.
AUGCUUGAUGGUUCUGCUCAGGACAUGCCAUCUCGUAUUACUGGACAUGGAUGUGAAGAGCACUCCAUGAUUGACUCUUUGCGAGGAGUUCUUAUGGUAGAUGCUCAACAAGACCAACUUCUUUCUAGGAACACCUCUCAGCAGCCACAUGUGACAGUCGCUGAUAAGGAGCCAAAUUGGCUUCAUUGUGAAGACCAGCAUUCCAGAAUGAGAUAUUUGUCUGCUCAAGCUGCGAAACAACUACAGGACGCGGAGAAGUGGAUUAGUCAACAAAAUACAAAUGCUAUUGCAAAACUGGAAGAAUUGAGGAGGUAUCAAUCAAUACAGAGUCAGAAGUCCAAUGAUGCACCCCCAGACGCAGAUAUGUACUGCAAGCCAAAAACGCGAGAUGAUGUGACUGCUAAAUGUGCUAGUUCAGUGGCAGAUACAUGUUGUAUUGUCUCUGCUGAUGGUCAUAAUGCGCCUCAGCCAGUAGCUGGAGUCAAGAUUAGUGAAGUUUCUAUUGGUUCCAGUGCAGCAUCAAAUACUUCAGGUGUUAGUAAAGGUUAUAAUUUCAGGUCUUCAGCCAAGAGCACACAGGUUAACAUGAUGGAACACAUUUCCCUCAACUCACUGUCACAUGACAACAGUACUCCAGAACACUGGCCAAUGGAGCACAGGCAAAUGCAUUUUGGUUCAUGGGAGAGAAAUAUAACAGAUAGGGAGAUACCUGCAGACACGAAGGGUGCUGAAGCUAAAAAUCAUGACGACCUCUUGACCAGAAACAAGAGCAGCAGGAGGAACUUUAAUUCAGUUAGGCCUGCAGCGCCACCUGUGUUUAAUGAGAAGAAUUCUACAGAAGUCCUGAGUAUGCAGAAAACCCAUGUUCCAUGUAUUGCCAUUAAUAGUUCUAUAAUUCCUGCCAAGGUUACUUCUGUUACAGGUCUUAUUGUGGGUAAUAUAAUGCUUGAUGAUGUUCCACUUGCAUCAGUAAACCGGGAGUGGGCAGUACCGGCCAAGGAAGUACAUGAUACAGCUAGUAGCCUCUAA